Molecule: unclassified non-coding RNA, 1933 nt
Filed under: Hevea brasiliensis (rubber tree)
Lineage: Eukaryota; Viridiplantae; Streptophyta; Magnoliopsida; Malpighiales; Euphorbiaceae
Source: RNAcentral
GGCCAAUAGAACUUCAAUUGUAGGCAUUAUCAUCAUCAUCUUUCACCAUAUCCAUGCAUCUUCAAGCAUAGUCUAAGAUAAAGCUUUCAUACAUGCGGCCCAUUAUAGUCACCCAAAGAUCUCUAGUUAAACUGGGUAAACUCCUACUAAACCUUCAUCCCAACUCAGGUGAAGGUUACUAUUCUAAAACAGAGGACCAAAGAAUUAGCAUUUAUACAAGGCAGCACCAAUUCACAAUCCUAAAAUCUUAGUAAAUUUUGUUACCAUUGGUCACCGUUGAAACAAUGUCAGAAAGCAACAUCAAUUUGUAAUGCUAAAAUGUCAGUAAAUUUUGUUACCAUUGGUAAAUCAAUGUCAGAAUCCAUCAACUUCCUCAUCACUGUUGAUUUCAUCAUCUAAAUCAGAAGAGUCGACCUUGGCAUCGGUUUGCAGAUCUUGGAGCUUAUUAAUAGCAUAUCUUGCAUCAGAAACCAAGGCAUUUUUUGCUGCUCUAACCACAUCUAUUUUCUGAAUGUUGGCUUGCCCACAAUUCUCUUUUCCUGCUCUUGCACAUGCUGCCCUUCUCUUAGCUUCCCUGCAAUGUAACUGGUCAAUAUAUUUCUCAUGCAAGGCCCUGUUUUUCACCUGCUUCAGUACUGGGGGACUAACAAGAUCUAGCCCACAUGAACUUCUAAAUCUAGAGAGAGGCUUUUUCUGACCAGAAGAAGAUCUCCCAAGGCUCUUCUGAAGAAAUCCUAGUUUUUCUUGCAAAUGCUGUGGGGUGGAAGCAUCAUUCAGCUGAGAAUCUUGUAUGGAUGGACUCACAUUGGGCUCAAGAAUGGAGAAUAGAUCUGCUUCAUCACUCUGGUCCCUGCAAUUAUGCUUUUGCAGCAACUGUCUAACAGUUUUCUGUGUAAUACGACUCCUCCGUUUAUAACAACUUAAUCUUUUAACCAUCAGAUCAGGAGAGCUAAGCAAUCUGCCAGCAGAGAGUGAAAAACAUCCAAGGGGUGAUGAGUUCAUUCUCUUUGCCCUUGAUCGAGGCAAAGGUUGAGGUGGAGUUAUAUGGUCAGAGUGAAUUUUCUCAAAGCAAUCCUGAGCUGUCUUUCCAGGCACCAGUUUAGAAACCUUCUUCCAGAAAUGAGGAGUGGGCUUGGCCGCAAAAUAAGCUUUCUCCAAUGCCAGUUCUUGCUCCCUCGUCCACACUUUAACACUUCCAUAACGACCUUCCGCUCCUCUCUUCCUCUUGCUAAUAACCCCAGCCUCUUGACUUCUUCCAAAAACAAAUUUCCCUUUCGAUGCUUCUAGUCCUAAAACCAGUUCAACAUCCAAACAAUCCUGAGUCCUUCUUUCACUUCUCUGCACAAUCUCAUCACACGAAUCCACACCCACUUCCCUUUUUUCUUUAUUCAACAAUACCGCCUUAUAAUCUGUAGAUUCAUCCAAAACACGAUUGCUCGGUUUCUUGCUAGAAUUGUUAUUCGUUGAUUUAUCUGAAGCAGAAUGUCUGAGUUUCUCUGACUUACCACUGCUCUUCUUCGUUUCGUCUUGGUCACUCUUCUCUUUAAAUGCAUUAGUGUUUCCCAGUAAAGAAAGCCUCAAAGAUCGCCUAAUAUUCGAAACGCACUCCACCCUCUUACUAAACCUCGGAGAUCUUCUCAAACCAAAAACGGGAGUCGGACAAAUUGAGGACUUUCCAUCGAAGUUUCUCAGUUCCUUGGACGCUUUUUGCCUGUUAUCUCUGUGAAAGUUUGAGGGUUUCAGCUUGUCACUUUUCGAAUGGGACUUUUGAUGGAGAAAUCUGUUGGAUCGACGGAGAGGAAUGAUUACCUCGUGCUCUGCCUGUGUGGUGGUGGAUGUGGUAGGUUUUCUGGAAGUUCUCCGUUUUGGCAUUUCGUAGAGCAAUUGGUGAGUGUGUUCUCGUUUCUUGUUCAUUUCGCAUUCGAGUGCAUUG